GAAAUGCGAUAAGUAAUGUGAAUUGCAGAAUUCAGUGAAUCAUCGAAUCUUUGAACGCACCUUGCGCUCCUUGGUAUUCCUUGGAGCAUGCCUGUUUGAGUAUCAUGAAAUCUUCAAAGUAAAUCUUUUGUUAACUCAAUUGGUUUCUACUUUGGUAUUGGAGGUCUUUGCCGCUUCACACCUGCUCCUCUUUGUUCAUUAGCUGGAUCUCAGUGUUAUGCUUGGUUCCACUCGGCGUGAUAAGUUAUCUAUCGCUGAGGACACUGUAAAAGGUGGCCAAGGUAAAUGCAGAUGAACCGCUUCUAAUAGUCCAUUGACUUGGACAAUACUUUUAUGAUCUGAUCUCAAAUCAGGUAGGACUACCCGCUGAACUUAAGC
This 378-nucleotide unclassified non-coding RNA is filed under the name plant metagenome. RNAcentral's name for it is "partial contains 5.8S ribosomal RNA, internal transcribed spacer 2, and large subunit ribosomal RNA". The stretch from base 1 to 105 matches the Rfam family "5.8S ribosomal RNA", at positions 50 to 154 of the family's 154-position model. The record is from RNAcentral.